Molecule: long non-coding RNA, 1609 nt
Filed under: Helianthus annuus (common sunflower)
Lineage: Eukaryota; Viridiplantae; Streptophyta; Magnoliopsida; Asterales; Asteraceae
Source: RNAcentral
AUGGUGGGUGGCCCAAAUUUUGGAGGGUGGAUUAUGAUGGAGGGCCACCCUCACUUUUUUCUUCAUUCUAAAACAUAUAUUACAUGAUGGAGGGUGGCCCAAAUUUUGUUUGGGGUUUUCAGCAGGUGAACGCUCCUCCAUAAAUCGUACUCCAUUGCUGGAAAGUAUCAGGUGAACGCUUCAAUCAAACGUGUUUUGGAUUAUCUGUGGAACCCAAUUCGAGUUUCCAAGUGCAGUUCUAUCAACCCCCACUACCCAAAAUUGCGCUACACUUUUCUUAUAGAAAACAUACAUCCAACACUCUGGUUCUCUAGACGCAGAAGGGGAAGAGCAAGAUUCGAGAGCUGACUCUUCGAGAAAUUAGCGACAUUAAGGUAUACUUUGAUUGCAUACACAGUUGAUUAGGGAAUAAUAUUGCUAUUGUCCUUGUAUGUCUGUUGUUUUAGCCAUCACUAUCAUCUUCUUCAGCAGCAAUUUCGUUAGCAUGAAAUUAGUUUAUUCGAUUGGCAGCAGGUGGCAACACAUAGGUAGAGCAUCCACUUCAACUGUUAUAAGGUAACAAAUAAUUUUUUCCAUGUAAUUUUUUAUUUUUUUGUAAGUUGUUUGUUGUUGGGAUUUGAAAAUUUUACUGAAAUACGAGGCGGGUGUGUUUUAUUUCUAUUUUUGAUGAUAGAAGGUACUUAUGUUUGAUAUUGAGAUAUGCUAUUGUAUGAUUUUGAUGUGAAGACUCAGAAACUAUGAUAAUGUAGUUAGAUAAUCAAUAGAUUAAAGCUACACAAAGUUGGAUAAUUUCCCUUUAUCAAGAUAUUUGUAGACCUGCCUGUUCAAAUAUUAUCAAAGCUGGAUUAGGAUUAUUUCACUUUAUAGACCUGUUUGUUCAAAUAUGAUUACUUUUUGGAUAAAUCUGAUGGUUAUUUAUGUGCCUGGGAUGUUUGAUCUGAUUUUAAAUAAUAUGUUUGCUUUUGAAUUUGACAACCGAGAAAAAGAAUGGGCAAUAAUAAAAAUUGUAUGUUGAGUUUGAUCCCAAACUUAUGGUAUCUUUCGUUUAUAGUCCCAUGUUUAUAUUAACAAUAACUCAAAAUUAUUCUACUGUAAGACCACGAACAGUUUAGGUUUUGUACCAAAAGCUUUAAGUCCUUUUUCUUAAUAAUUCACAAUUUAGUAACUGAUUACACUUUGAAUGUUUUUAUCGUAGUUGAUAUAAUUCAAUUAUAGAAUUUGACAAAAUUGUGGACCAUCUUGCAACUGUAGAUCGUGGGGUUAAUGUUGUUUUAUUUGAAAGAACUGAGAAAACACAUGUAAGCUGCUUGGCUGCCUUCUUUUAAAUUUAUGUCAUAUUUAUUCUUCUUGACUUACCAUACAUUAAAAUUUUAAAUUCUUCACUGAAUUCAGUAUUAUAACAUAAAACCGUAUGAAAUAUGAUCUUAGUUUUAAAAAGUGAGAGACACCCAAAAGCGACGAGGUCUAAAACUGAGGCGUGAAGUGCAAAAGCGGCAGGCUUUUCGUACCCAAGGCGCAAAGUGAGUAUAUAAAAUAUAUUACAACAGUUUGAUGCAUAAAGACAACGUAAAAACACCCUAGGUACAAGAGGCGCGCUCCUCAGGUCAGA